This 513-nucleotide ribosomal RNA is filed under the name uncultured delta proteobacterium. RNAcentral's name for it is "bacterial SSU rRNA". It matches the Rfam family "Bacterial small subunit ribosomal RNA", at positions 36 to 523 of the family's 1533-position model. Lineage: Bacteria; Deltaproteobacteria. The record is from RNAcentral.
CUGGCGGCGUGCAUAACACAUGCAAGGUCUAACGGGAAAGUCGGCUUCGGCUGGCUAGUACCGUGGCGAACGGGUGAGUAACACGUGGGUAAUCUAACCUCGAGCUUGGAUAACCUUGCGAAAGCGAGGCUAAUACCGAAUAAGACCACGCCCUGCCCGCAGGGUGUGGUAAAAGGUGGCCUCUUCCUGAAAGCUAUCACUUGAGGAUGAGCCCGCGGCCUAUUAGCUAGUUGGUAGGGUAACGGCCUACCAAGGCGACGAUGGGUAGCCGGCCUGAGAGGGUGUACGGCCACACUGGCACUGAGAUACGGGCCAGACUCCUACGGGAGGCAGCAGUGGGGAAUUUUGCGCAAUGGGGGAAACCCUGACGCAGCAACGCCGCGUGAGUGAUGAAGGCCUUCGGGUCGUAAAGCUCUUUUAGUGGGGAAGAAUCCCUCCCGGGCAAAUAACCUGGGAGGAUGACGGUACCCACAGAAAAAGUUCCGGCUAACUACGUGCCAGCAGCCGCGGUAA